UGCAGUCGAGCGGAUGAAGGGAGCUUGCUCCUGGAUUCAGCGGCGGACGGGUGAGUAAUGCCUAGGAAUCUGCCUGGUAGUGGGGGAUAACGUCCGGAAACGGGCGCUAAUACCGCAUACGUCCUGAGGGAGAAAGUGGGGGAUCUUCGGACCUCACGCUAUCAGAUGAGCCUAGGUCGGAUUAGCUAGUUGGUGGGGUAAAGGCCUACCAAGGCGACGAUCCGUAACUGGUCUGAGAGGAUGAUCAGUCACACUGGAACUGAGACACGGUCCAGACUCCUACGGGAGGCAGCAGUGGGGAAUAUUGGACAAUGGGCGAAAGCCUGAUCCAGCCAUGCCGCGUGUGUGAAGAAGGUCUUCGGAUUGUAAAGCACUUUAAGUUGGGAGGAAGGGCAGUAAGUUAAUACCUUGCUGUUUUGACGUUACCAACAGAAUAAGCACCGGCUAACUUCGUGCCAGCAGCCGCGGUAAUACGAAGGGUGCAAGCGUUAAUCGGAAUUACUGGGCGUAAAGCGCGCGUAGGUGGUUCAGCAAGUUGGAUGUGAAAUCCCCGGGCUCAACCUGGGAACUGCAUCCAAAACUACUGAGCUAGAGUACGGUAGAGGGUGGUGGAAUUUCCUGUGUAGCGGUGAAAUGCGUAGAUAUAGGAAGGAACACCAGUGGCGAAGGCGACCACCUGGACUGAUACUGACACUGAGGUGCGAAAGCG
This 709-nucleotide ribosomal RNA is filed under the name Pseudomonas aeruginosa. RNAcentral's name for it is "bacterial SSU rRNA". It matches the Rfam family "Bacterial small subunit ribosomal RNA", at positions 56 to 761 of the family's 1533-position model. Lineage: Bacteria; Pseudomonadati; Pseudomonadota; Gammaproteobacteria; Pseudomonadales; Pseudomonadaceae. The record is from RNAcentral.